RNAcentral lists this ribosomal RNA (323 nucleotides) under uncultured bacterium. RNAcentral's name for it is "bacterial SSU rRNA". It matches the Rfam family "Bacterial small subunit ribosomal RNA", at positions 28 to 334 of the family's 1533-position model. The record is from RNAcentral.
GACGAACGCUGGCGGCGUGCCUAACACAUGCAAGUCGAACGGGGCUCUUUGGAUCGAGACUUCGGUCAAGUGAAUCUGAGCUUAGUGGCGGACGGGUGAGUAACGCGUGAGCAACCUGCCUUUCAGAGGGGGACAACAGUUGGAAACGACUGCUAAUACCGCAUAAUGUGUUUUGGGGGCAUCCCCGGAACACCAAAGAUUUAUCGCUGAAAGAUGGGCUCGCGUCUGAUUAGCUAGUUGGUGGGGUAACGGCCUACCAAGGCGACGAUCAGUAGCCGACCUGAGAGGGUGAUCGGCCACAUUGGAACUGAGACACGGUCCAA